This 386-nucleotide ribosomal RNA is filed under the name uncultured bacterium. RNAcentral describes it as "bacterial SSU rRNA". It matches the Rfam family "Archaeal small subunit ribosomal RNA", at positions 340 to 726 of the family's 1478-position model. The record is from RNAcentral.
CGCGAAACCUCCGCAAUGCGAGCAAUCGCGACGGGGGGACCCCAAGUGCUACUCUUAACGGGGUAGCUUUUCUAAAGUGUAAAAAGCUUCAGGAAUAAGGGCUGGGCAAGACCGGUGCCAGCCGCCGCGGUAACACCGGCAGCUCUAGUGGUGGCCGCUUUUAUUGGGCCUAAAGCGUUCGUAGCCGGCCUGAUAAGUCUCUGGUGAAAUCCCGCAGCUUAACUGUGGGAAUUGCUGGAGAUACUAUCAGGCUUGAGGCCGGGAGAGGCUGGAGGAACUCCCAGGGUAGGGGUGAAAUCCUAUAAUCCUGGGAGGACCACCUGUGGCGAAGGCGUCCAGCUGGAACGGACCUGACGGUGAGUAACGAAAGCCAGGGGCGCGAACCG